This 404-nucleotide ribosomal RNA is filed under the name uncultured bacterium. RNAcentral describes it as "partial 16S ribosomal RNA". It matches the Rfam family "Bacterial small subunit ribosomal RNA", at positions 30 to 526 of the family's 1533-position model. The record is from RNAcentral.
AUUGAACGCUGGCGGCAGGCCUAACACAUGCAAGUCGAGCGAGCGGCGGUCGGGUGAGGAUUGCUUGGGCAUUGCACCGUCGCGGUGGAUAAGAGAUGGAACCGACUGCUAAUACCGCAUACGACUGGCUUGCCCAGGUGGGAUUAGCCAGUUGGUGCGGUAAUGGCUCACCAAGGCGACGAUCCCUAGCUGGUCUGAGAGGUUGAUCAGCCACACUGGAACUGAGACACGGUCCAGACUCCUACGGGAGGCAGCAGUGGGGAAUAUUGCACAAUGGGGGAAACCCUGAUACAGCCAUGCCGCGUGUGUGAAGAAGGCCUUCGGGUUGUAAAGCACUUUCAGCGAGGAGGCGUUACUCGCAGAAGAAGCACCGGCUAACUCCGUGCCAGCAGCCGCGGUAAUUC